This is a long non-coding RNA of Acanthochromis polyacanthus (spiny chromis), 11925 nucleotides long. RefSeq lists it as uncharacterized. The transcript is spliced from 4 exons. Lineage: Eukaryota; Metazoa; Chordata; Actinopteri; Pomacentridae. The record is from RefSeq and is a predicted model, not a curated record.
GGGGAUUUAUUUUUUUUAAAUAAAACUUUUUAGGGAAACGUAAGGAAUUAUUGGAAGUUUCUUCCUGAAGGUUUUGCAAAUUUUCGGAAAUUUGGGGAUUUUUUUUGCUAAAUAUUGUUCAGACAAGGAAACUAUAUUUUUUAGUGCCGGUAACUGAAGACAACAGUCGGGUUAAACAGAUUCAGACUAAAAACUGCUUUUAAAAGAGAAGACUACGUCAGCAUGCUGGUUCAGGACGUUUAUCUGACUGAGGGAUGAUUAAAGUCUGAGUGUGCGGGCUCAGUGAACCUGUGAAGAACCUCCUGUUUGAUGGAUGGAUGUUGGUCUGUUGAUCUGAGACGUGCAGUACCACUGUGGACCAGCAGGAGGCAGCAGAUGCUCUCUGUUUCAGGUUCUCAACAUGUUUCCACUCACAUUGUUUUUGACUGAAGAAUAAAACUUGUUCAGAACCUGACAGACUCCAGCUGAUUUUACUGCAGCUCUGAAGGUUUUUAUGAGCCGAUGGAGGACUUUAUAUCAUCAAAAACCCACAGACACUCUGCAGAACUACUGAGAAGCAAAUGGACACAAACUUCAUGUUCAGGCUGUGGAAUGGAAAUAGUUCAACAUCUACAGGAUGUGGAGACACCUGACCAAACACAUCUACUUGUUCUUUUCCUCAGAUUUUUCUGAUCUGAGUGGGUUCCAUCUUUCUGACUCCUUCUGCCAGAAGACGUUCUGAGUUCUCUCCUUCUUUAUGUUGUUCUGGUUCCACAAAGCUGCAGGACUUUAGAUUAAAAAAUGAAACACGGGGAAGAAAAGUGAGCCCCAAUCAUCCUGGCAAUGGUGGUGCUACUGGUGUUACUGGUGGUGGUAUUGGUGUUACUGGUGGUGUUACUGGUGGUAUUACUGGUGGUAUUGGUGGAGUUACUGGUGGUGGUAUUGGUGGUGUUGGUGUUACUGGUGUUACUGGUGGUGGUUGUUCCUCUACAGGCCUCAGCACAGAUUCUCUGAGAGCUAACACAGAUGCUAACAAUAGCUGUCAGAGUUUAACUGUCAACAGCAGCAGUGACAUCCAAGGACAAACCUGUUUACCUCACUGCACAUGUCCAGCAGCACCUGGUGGAGGUCAGCAGUUCAGGUAGAACAUCACAGGUUCAGGUAGAACGUCACAGGUUCAGGUAGAACGUCACAGGUUCUGGUAGAACGUCACAGGUUCAGGUAGAACGUCACAGGUUCUGGUAGAACGUCACAGGUUCUGGUAGAACGUCACAGGUUCAGGUAGAACGUCACAGUAGAACGUCACAGGUUCAGGUAGAACGUCACAGUAGAACGUCACAGGUUCAGGUAGAAUGUCACAGGUUCAGGUAGAACAUCACAGGUUCAGGUAGAACGUCACAGGUUCAGGUAGAACAUCACAGGUUCAGGUAGAACGUCACAGGUUCAGGUAGAACGUCACAGGUUCAGGUAGAACGUCACAGGUUCAGGUAGAACGUCACAGUAGAACGUCACAGGUUCAGGUAGAACGUCACAGGUUCUGGUAGAACGUCACAGGUUCUGGUAGAACGUCACAGGUUCUGGUAGAACGUCACAGGUUCUGGUAGAACGGGUCCACUCUUACAACCUCCAGCACUGUGGUUCAUUUUUAAUGUGGAACCAGAACAACAUGAAUAAGGAGAGAACUCAGAACCAUCUUCUGUCAGUAGGACUCAGUUAAAAUGAUGGACCCCAGAAAACAGUUCUUUAAUGUCUCAUUUCAGCUAAAGCCUUUUUGUCUCCUUCAUUGAGAUUCAUGAGAACUUUAGUCCUCCAGAGACUCAGCUGACAGUAAAUGUCAUCUUAACAAAUGGUAGCUGCUUGUGGGAGUUUGGUUGUAUUUUUUAUGUUGCCAUGGCAACAGAGGAUACUGCAUUCUGACUGGUUGGAAAGGAUUUCCCAUGUCCUGACAGUGUCUGGUUAAAGCGCCUCCUGCUGGGCAGAGGAUGGAAGUUAACCAGAGGCUGUUCUGUACAUGAUGGGGUUGGUUUAUUCUGUCUGGAGGUCCAGAUGUUGGUUCUGAUCAGCAUCAGGCUGUGGCUGGACUCUAUGAUGUUCACACGAAACUACAAAUCAUUCACUUCCUACCUUCCAGGCGCUGAAAGCAGCACAAUGACCUGAAGAUAUUUAGCUCUGUUUGACAAUGUAGAGGUUGGUUAGAGAUGGGUUAGUAUGAGGUUAGAGAUGGGUUAGUGAUGGGUUAGUAUGAGGUUAGAGAUGGGUUAGUAUGAGGUUAGAGAUGGGUUAGUGAUGGGUUAGUAUGAGGUUAGAGAUGGGUUAGUAUGAGGUUAGAGAUGGGUUAGAGAUGGGUUAGUAUGAGGUUAGAGAUGGGUUAGUGAUGGGUUAGUAUGAGGUUAGAGAUGGGUUAGUGAUGGGUUAGUAUGAGGUUAGAGAUGGGUUAGAGAUGGGUUAGUAUGAGGUUAGAGAUGGGUUAGAGAUGGGUUAGUAUGAGGUUAGAGAUGGGUUAGUGUGAGGUUAGAGAUGGGUUAGUGAUGGGUUAGUAUGAGGUUAGAGAUGGGUUAGUAUGAGGUUAGAGAUGGGUUAGUGAUGGGUUAGUAUGAGGUUAGAGAUGGGUUAGUAUGAGGUUAGAGAUGGGUUAGUAUGAGGUUAGAGAUGGGUUAGUGAUGGGUUAGUAUGAGGUUAGAGAUGGGUUAGUAUGAGGUUAGAGAUGGGUUAGUAUGAGGUUAGAGAUGGGUUAGUGAUGGGUUAGUAUGAGGUUAGAGAUGGGUUAGUGUGAGGUUAGAGAUGGGUUAGUGAUGGGUUAGUAUGAGGUUAGAGAUGGGUUAGUAUGAGGUUAGAGAUGGGUUAGUAUGAGGUUAGAGAUGGGUUAGAGAUGGGUUAGUAUGAGGUUAGAGAUGGGUUAGUGAUGGGUUAGUAUGAGGUUAGAGAUGGGUUAGUAUGAGGUUAGAGAUGGGUUAGUGAUGGGUUAGUAUGAGGUUAGAGAUGGGUUAGUAUGAGGUUAGAGAUGGGUUAGUGAUGGGUUAGUAUGAGGUUAGAGAUGGGUUAGUAUGAGGUUAGAGAUGGGUUAGUAUGAGGUUAGAGAUGGGUUAGUAUGAGGUUAGAGAUGGGUUAGUGAUGGGUUAGUAUGAGGUUAGAGAUGGGUUAGAGAUGGGUUAGUAUGAGGUUAGAGAUGGGUUAGUGUGAGGUUAGAGAUGGGUUAGUGAUGGGUUAGUAUGAGGUUAGAGAUGGGUUAGUGUGAGGUUAGAGAUGGGUUAGUAUUGGUUAAAAUCUUUAACUCACCAGGUUGUCCAGGUUAACGUUGGGUUAAUGUUUUAGCAUUAGCUAGUUAAGGUCAAGGUAAGGUCAAGUUGAGGUCAGAGUGAAUCUUUUAAUGAGCUGCAGCAGGUGAUCAGAGCUGGUCUUUGGUAUCUGUUAUUGAUUAUCAUCCCUGCUCUGCCUUCAUGCAGAACGGUCUAUUUUUAGCGCGGUUAUACGGAGAACCAGUCAUGCCUAAAGAAGCCAGCUGAUGAUGGUUGUAGAACUCACUGGAGUGAAGUGAAGCUAGGGAAAAUGCAGCGAGCGGUUUGACUGGAUGAUCUUCCAAAUGAGUCCACAGCUGGUUGGAGCUGCAGCUUCUGGUCCAGCUGCUCGUCCUGCUUCCACUCAUCACGUCUGCAGCACAUUUUUAUUCUUCCUGUUUCCCACCAGCGUCUUGAGAUCGUCGUCUGUUGGCUGAAGGCACAUUAUCACUCAACAUGUCUGGUUUUAACACCUCCGUCCGGUGUUUGGGUCACAGACUAUGCUAAAAUACACGUUUAGUGAUAUUCUAUCUUCAUGUUGUCAACAGAUCCAGUGAGCAGCAGUGGAAGUAUCUCAGAUCAUUCUGUGUUUUUAUUUUAGAAAUGUGACUGGAUGGAUUACUGUGCAGGAAGAAGCUUCUGUUUUGUGAGACUGCUCUCAUUUUUGUUAGAAAGUUGAUCAAAUGACCAGAAAAAUGCAAAAUAAUAACGAACACUCAAAGUUACCACAAAACGAUGAAGAAGUAUCCAAAAGAAACACAAUAAGACCAGAAGAAGAUACAAAAUGACCUCAAAGUGCUUCAGAGAGAAAAGGUUUUAACCCUCCUGUUGUCCUCAUUUAUGGGCACCAAAAAAUAUUGAUUCUUUGUAUGAAAAAAUCCAAAAAUGUAGCAAAUAUAUUCCUCAAAUUUCUGAAAAUGUGCAAAACUUUCAGGAAGAACAUUCCAAUAAUUCCUGAAAAGUUUUAUUUAAAAAAAAAAAAUUGGCAAGAUUAUUAUUUUUUAAAUCUUUUAUUUUCAAAUAAGGAGUAAAAAUCUUCCAAAAAACCCUAAAAAUAUAUAAAAUGAUUACAUCUGUAUCAGUAAAACUUCUAAUAUUUUCCUUUAAGAACAUUCAACAAAAAAUCAACCAAAAUCCAGCAAAAAAAAACAAAAAAAAAAACGCUGGAUUUUGGUUGAUUUUUCAGUGAGUGUUCUUAGGAAACAUUUUUCCCCACCAGAAAAAGUUCAAAAUAUGGACAUCAGAAGUUUUAUUGUGAAAUCUUUUUUUUUUCACAUUUUGAAACUUUAAACUUGCAAAACCUUCAGGAAGAAAAUUCCAAUAAUUCCUUAAAAAAUUCCCUUAAAAGAUUUACCGGUAUUUAAAAAAAUGGCAAGAAAAUUCUUGUAAAUAUUUUCAAAAUGAGUACAAAUAUUUUUUUAAAAAUCCUAAAAAUAUCUAAAGUUAUUCCAUAUAUAGCAGUAAAACAUCUAAUAUAUUAUUAAGAACAUUCACCCCAAAAAAACAACCAAAAUCCAGCGAUUUUCACUGGAUUUUUCUGUGAAUGUUCUAAGGAAACAUUUUUAACAUUUCUUUUUUCCAUCUAAAAAUGUUGACAAAUUUCCUAAAAAUGUUGAAAAUGUGGACAUCAGAAGUCUCACUGUGAAAUUAUAUUUUUUCCACAUUUUCAAACUUUAAAACGGGUCGAUGUUGACCUGCAGGACGACAUGAGGGGUGAAAGUGAGACAGACUGAUGUAUAACGUGUUUUCUAACGAGGCCACAGUGACGCUGGUGUCGGUCGGUUUGAUGCCUGUCAGCACAGAGUAAACAGGAAGUGAUGUUUGCUUUGGGCUCUGCUUCCUCAGCAUGUGACUGAUGGAAGCCUGCAGGGGUUUACUCAUGAGGCUGAGGACUCGGUCACAUUGUGGGACUCUGGUUUGGUCCUAAACACGAAACUCCACAAGGAAAACGGUUCAUUUGUAUGCCGAAAACACAAAAAGGCUAAAUGUACUUAAAGUGGCCACAAAGAAGACAAAACAUGACAAAAGACGAAGAACAGCCAACAGGACGCAAAGUGACCACGAAAAGCUCCAUCCAUCAUCCAUCAUACAUCCAUCCUCCAUCCAUCCAUCAUCCAUCAUACAUCCAUCCAUCAUCCAUCCAUCCAUCCAUCCAUCCAUCCAUCAUACAUCAUACAUCCAUUCAUCCUCCAUCCAUCAUACAUACGUCCAUCAUACAUCCAUCCAUCAUACAUCCAUCCAUCCAUCCAUCCAUCAUCCAUUCAUCCAUCCAUCCUCCAUCCAUCCAUCCAUCAAUCAUAAAUCCAUCCAUCAUCCAUCAUACAUCCAUCCAUCCAUCAUCCAUCCAUCCAUCAUACAUUCAUCCAUCUAUCCAUAAAUCAUACAUCCAUCCAUCCAUCAAUCAUAAAUCCAUCCAUCAUCCAUCAUACAUCCAUCCAUCAUACAUCCAUCCAUCCAUCAUCCAUCCAUAAAUCAUACAUUCAUCCAUCCAUAAAUCAUACAUUCAUUCAUCCAUCCAUCAUCCAUCCAUCCAUCCAUCCAUCCACCUCUUAAUCCUCUGUAGGGUAUUGGGGGGGGGGCAGAGUCUAUCCCAGAAAAGUGAGGGCAGGUUCACCUGGACAGGUAACAGUCUAUCAGAGAUAUGCAAACACAAACCAAGAACAAAAAAGAGAUACUAAACAACUAACAAGAAAAUGUACAUAAAAUGACCUCAAAAACGGCACAAAGUCACCCCACAGUUACCACGGUGACACAACAUGACCAAACAGUGAUACAAAACUAAAAGGCAGAAAAAAAAUUCAAAAACCAACCAAAAGAAUGUUAGAAAACUUUUUAAAAAGAAACACAAAACUACUGAUGAUACGCAAAACAUCCACAAAGAGAUGAAACUAAGCAGAGCCUGAUGCCCUGGAGACUCCUGAAAGUUCUUCUAUUUCCUGACCCUCUGUUCAAGCAGGAGGUCGACUCGUUUACAACCAAGACCUCUGAGGUCUCCAGUAAAUGUUGAGACCAAAGAUUGUUGUGACCUGCUGAGAUCUGUGCGUGUUCUCCAGAAUAACUUGUCUUAAAGGUUCAUCUGUCUUAUCUGUUUUCAGGAGGAUCAUGUUGAGUCCAUCAUCCUUCAGGAAGUCCAUGAGGAAGAGGACUUCAGCUCUGAGAACCACAGGAACAUCAUCAUGGACGCCAUGGAAUUAUUCUGUUGCCAAAUCUAUUUUUUAGCACCAUGCUGUGUUUUCUAUGGGGAGGAACCAUCCGCCUCGUGAAUUACUUUCUAGAUUCUGGACAUUUGUUCUAAUGUGUUUUGAUUUCUGUUCUUUUUUGCCUUGGUGAAGACAAAGCAGCUCCAGCGGUCAAACCGUCCACGAAUGUCUGGCAGGAAAAAGAUUCUCUGAAUGUUUCUGUGUUUGUGAUCAGAAUAUGAGUAACAUCUACCUCAGUUCAUCAGAAGCUUUAACACCUCCAUGAUCUCCAACAUCUGGUGCAGCAACUCACUGAAGCUCUAGAAACUGCCAACAAAAGAUAGAAGAUGUUGAUAGAAUCGAAAUAUGAAGCCAAUAAUUAACGAUUCGGGCAUUUUGUUUUGCACAUUUUGUUAAUUUAUUUGUGAAACGGAGUGAAUGUGAGAGUUUGAGUUAAAUGUUGAUUUAAAGGCAAUAAUGUUCUCAGAGCGACUCGUCUUAAAAAAGCUGAAACUGAUUCUUCACUUCUUGUAGUUUUCCCAGAAUCAGACCAAGUUUCUGCUUCCAACUAAACCAGAAAAAACAACGAAUGCUACUGUUGGUUUCACAGCAAAGUCUGGAAAACCAAACAUUUAUUUAUGUAGACCUACUGGCAUUUUUACUCACCUUUCUGUUUCUGCUUUUAGUCUCUGUUGCUCUUUUCUCUUGUUUUUGUCGUUUAGUUUUCAGACAUAAUAAGAAAAAUAUUCCCAGAAUGAAAUGUGGGGUUAUCUCCAUAAAACUAAUAUUAGUGAUAAUAAAUGGAAAUGUUUCCUUGCACUGAAGCGAACAGCUAUGCUAGGCUAGAAGUUUCCCUCCAUUGAAGCUACAAGCUAAGCUAAGCAUUUCCCCCACAGAAACUAACACCUACGCUAAGCUUACAACUUCCUUUCACUGAAGUGAAGCUGUUUUCUCCAAUAGCUAAGCUAACAGUUUCCUUACAUUGAAGCUUAUCGCUAAGCUAACAAUUUCCCUCCACAGACACUACGAGCUCAGCAUAGCUAACAGUCUCCCUCCACUGAAGCUAAUAGCUAGGCUAAGCUAACAGCUAUUCUCCACUGAAGCUAAUAGCUAAGCUAGAAGUUUCCCUCCACUGAAGCUAUUAGCUAAGCUAAUAGUUAUCCUUCACAAAAGCUACAAGGUAAGCUAACAGUUUCCCUCUCUGAAGAGCUAAGCUAACAGUUUCUCCCUCUGAAGCUAAUAGCUAAGUUAAAUUCCCCUCACUGAAGUUAAUGGCUAAGCUAGCAGUUUCCCUCCAUUUAAGCUAUUAAUUAAGGUAACAGUUACCCCCCACAGAAGCUCAAAGCUAAGCUAACAAUUUUCCUUUCUGAAGUUAAGAGCUAACAGUUGUACCCCCUCUGACGGUUAGAGCUAAGCUCACAGUUUCUCCCUCUGAAGCUAAUAGCUAAACUAACAGUUUCCUCCUCUGAAACUAAAAGCUAAGUUAGCAGCCAACCCCCUUGAAGCUAACAGCUAAGCAAACAGUUAUCCCCUCUGAAGUUAGUAGCUAAGCUAACAGUUUCCCCCUCUGAAGCUAAAAGCUAAGUUAGCAGCCAACCCCCUUUGAAGCUAACAGCUAAGCAAACACAUAUCCCCCUCUGAAGCUCGUAGCACAGUUUAAACAGUUUAAUCUCCGUCUGAUUCUGGGACCAAACAACCAGCUGUCCUGAUUCUUCCACUGUCGUGUCUCAUUGUGAAACAGCUGAAGGAGGUGUCGCUGCGACGCUUCAGCUCUGAUUAGCGUGUUCUGUUUCAGCUCUGAUUAGCGUGUUCUGCUUCCUGUAUGUGCAAUAAUAGCGCAGCGCUAACGCUAGCUCCACACGUUCCUCCAUCAGCGAUCCAUCUGCUCUUCAUCUGUUCAUAAAGCAAUAGAGUGGAAGCUGAAUGCUUUCUGCUUCUCUUUUUUAUUCUCAUGUUUAUUUUGACAAUCUUGAAUUGUGAUCUAUUUUUGAUAAAAUAAAUCUUUAAUCCUGAUCGAUCUGCAUGUGUCACAUGAUCACAUGCAGAUGUGUCACUUCCUGUUUCCUGUGUUGUUAUGUGUCAUUACCAUGUUCAGUCUGUGGUUCAUUUUAACUCUCUGUUGGUUCAUUUUAACUGUGGUUCAUGUUUAAAGUCCUGCAGCUCUGUGGAACCAGAACAUCAUGAAGGACAGAGAACUCAGAGAUUCUCCUGUCAGAACGACGGAAACCAGAAGAAAUAAACUGUCCUUUGGUUAUUUAUUUAAAAAAUCAGUCAAACAGAAUCAGUUGGAACCAGGACAAAGGAGGUUUGGUGAAACAGUGAAUCAUCUUCAUCCAUGCUGAGGUUCUGCUAGAACCCGUCACAUGUUCCAUGAUAUUCUGAUAGACUAUUUUAUGAUCUGUAAUGAGAUAAGAUAAAACUGUGGGCCAGUAAUAAUAAUAAUUCUGUCAUUGUGUUUGAAUAUAUUCCGAGUGGAGACACUGAUCAGCAAAACGUUCAUCCACUAAACUUACUUCCUGUUUAUUUCCAUUAAUGUGGCGGAUGAACCCGUUGGUGAUCAGGUCAGAUAGCAGCUCUUCUGAAAGUAGAUCUGAUGCAGUUUGAUAACCUUUGGGUUAGGGGUUAGUUAGUCUGUGGGUUAGGGGUUAGUUAGUCUGUGGGUUAACGGUUAGUCAUGGGUUAGUUAGUCUGUGGGCUAGGGGUUUAUUAGUCUGUGGGUUAGGGGUUAGUUAGUCUGUGGGUUAGGGAUUAGUUAGUCUGUGGGUUAGGGGUUAGUUAGUCUGUGGGUUAGGGAUUAGUUAGUCUGUGGGUUAGGGAUUAGUUAGUCUGUGGGUUAGGGGUUAGUUAGUCUGUGGGUUAGCGGUCAGUUAGUCUGUGGGUUAGGGGUUAGUUAGUCUGUGGGUUAGGGGUUAGUUAGUCUGUGGGUUAGCGGUCAGUUAGUCUGUGGGUUAGGGAUUAGUUAGUCUGUGGGUUAGCGAUUAGUUAGUCUGUGGGUUAGGGGUUAGUUAGUCUGUGGGUUAGGGGUUAGUUAGUCUGUGGGUUAGCGGUCAGUUAGUCUGUGGGUUAGGGAUUAGUUAGUCUGUGGGUUAGCGAUUAGUUAGUCUGUGGGUUAGGGGGUUAGUUAGUCUGUGGGUUAGGGAUUAGUUAGUCUGUGGGUUAGGGAUUAGUUAGUCUGUGGGUUAGGGGUUAGUUAGUCUGUGGGUUAGGGGUUAGUUAGUCUGUGGGUUAGCGGUCAGUUAGUCUGUGGGUUAGGGAUUAGUUAGUCUGUGGGUUAGCGAUUAGUUAGUCUGUGGGUUAGGGGUUAGUUAGUCUGUGGUUAGCGGUUAGUUAGUCUGUGGGUUAGGGAUUAGUUAGUCUGUGGGUUAGGGAUUAGUUAGUCUGUGGGUUAGGGGUUAGUUAGUCUGUGGGUUAGGGAUUAGUUAGUCUGUGGGUUAGCGGUCAGUUAGUCUGUGGGCUAGGGGUUAGUUAGUCUUUGUUGGCCCUUCAUAUACCCCGAGCUCCUCCAAAAUAAACUGAACAGAAAAUAUUUUCUCAAAGUUCACGGUUAAAGAGAAAAAGUUAAAAAAUAAUCCAAAGAGAUUUUCAUGCAAAAGCUUCAGUAAUGUGAAGAAAUCGAGUUGAAUGGAGGUUUUCUGUUGAUCUCAGUAAAGCAGUUGUACGAGUUAGAGUCACAGUGUCGUAGUUCUCACUCUGAAGUCUUUACUAUUUAUCAGAGGUUUCUCCACGCUGAAUGUUGUGCUGCACUGGUUCAGGGCUUCAGAGGGUUAAAUAUAAAAUAACACAUCAGAAUCAUCAAACAGUUUCAUGGUCUGAUCUGUGACGUGUUUCAUAAAUAUUUUUUAUGUUCAUCAGCUGUCUCCAUCCAGUUUCAGCUCAUAUGUUGAGGGUCAGACUCUAAACCAAACCCAGCCUUCACCAUCCUGCUGAUCUGUACAAUAUUAAUGUGUGUAGUUUGUCCAGAUGUUUGUGUCGUAACCAUAGAAACCAGCAGUUAUUCAUCAAUAAGCAAUAAUGCAUGUAAAGUACAACAUCAUCAGCAAAAGAUGAGUCGUCUGGUUGUUCUUAUCUGUGCAUAAAAAGUAAAUAGUGCCUUAAUAACCAUAAUGAUGUUAAGUUAUGAAUCUGUUUAUGCAUCUGAAGUAUCAUAGAAGAAGAUUGUGUGAUGGUGUUAGAAGAAUACAGUAUUAAUGUAGAUUAAUGUCUUGAAUGUACAGUAAGAAGUCUUCCUGGUUGGUGUUGGGCGGAAAAACUUAAGAAAAAAAUGUUAAACAGCCUGAGUCUGAGAGGACAGACUGCUGCUGAGUGUUUGACAUUUAGAGGAUUUAUCUUUUGGAGAAAAUGCAGUUUUGGUUCGUUUUCUUUAGAAAACAGGCCAAAAAACACAAAAAAACUGAUUUAAUGUUGAGACAGAGUCACAGAAAAAUAGUUUCAUCGACAAUAAAUGACAGAUUUAGGAUAAAAGAAGUAAAAAAAACGAGCAGCAGGAAUGUCCUCUCUGCGCUCCUGUAGUUUGGUUUUAGAACUAGUUCUUCACACGUUCUGUUUUCAUCCGUUUCUCAAGUACGAAAAUAUUUUAAUCAUAAUAUGGAAUGACAGUUUCACACCAGUGUACAUCUCAGCCUUUAUUUCAGAGUGUUCAUAUAUAAAAAAACACUCAUUAUUUACUGAAGAUAAGGUAGUGGAGUUAACCCUCCUGUUGUCAUCAUUUUAUUUCACAUUUUCAAACUUUAAAACGGGUCAAUUUGAUCCGUAGGACGACACGAGGGUUAAAACUUGACCUUUCACAUUGUUAAAAAAUGACAAAGAAAAGAAAAAAGGUUUGUGGAAUUUUGGGAAAAAAUAUUAUUUAUAUUUUUAAAUGUGUUAAAAUACAAUAAAAAAGAAGAAACACCUGAUGUGACAGGUGAAGAAGAGCUGAAAUAAUUCUAUAAUAAAUAAGUGAUGCUAACUGAACCCUUGACCACAUUCCAGCCAGAUGUGUCGCUUUAAUUGUUUCUUUAAAAAUGCUAAGAUUCAGAAUCACAAUGAUGCAUCUUUUUGUAACAUUUGAUUUGGUUUGUCUGGAUGAACUAACCGAAAGCAGCUGAUUAUUUAAAGUUCAUCCUGAACCAUGUGGACUUCCUGUUUGUCUGUUAAACUGAGAAGAAGAAGAAGAAAGAACUCAGCCUCUAAACGGCUCCAGGGUUCUGAGUCUUUGUGUUUUCAGAUCUACUCAAACUACAGAAAAAUCAAACUUCAGCUCGUGUCCUCAGUGUUAGAACUCAAAGAUAGAGUUUAUUUUUAAUGUGUGUGUGUCAGAUUUAAGCUUAAAGCAGAAAAACAGCCUCAUAAUGUGAAUAAAUGUCCACCUUGGAUACUGUAUAUGCACAACAGAGUCAUUCUGAAUACUAGUUGUGACGACGUUUAAUGUGGCCUUUUCUUUCUCUUCCUGUAACGACUACUGUUAACAAUGAUUUGUACAAUAUGGUUUAUUAAAGUUAAACAGAAAUGAA